GACGAACGCUGGCGGCGUGCCUAACACACGCAAGUCGAGCUCGAAAGUCUUCGGAUGAGUAAAGCGGCGGACGGGUGAGUAAUGCAUGGGAAUCUGCCUGGUAGUGGGGGACAACGUUUCGAAAGAGACGCUAAUACCGCAUACGCCCUACGGGGGAAAGGGGGGGAUCUUCGGACCUCUCGCUAGCAGAUGAGCCCAUGUCAGAUUAGCUAGGUGGUAGGGUAAAGGCCUACCAAGGCGACGAUCUGUAACUGGUCUGAGAGGACGAUCAGUCAAUCGGGAACUGAGACACGGUCCAGACGCCUACGGGAGGCAGCAGUGGGGAAUAUUGGACAAUGGGGGAAACCCUGAUCCAGCCAUGCCGCGUGUGUGAAGAAGGCCCUAGGGUUGUAAAGCACUUUCAGUGGGGAGAAAGGUUAUUCACCUAAUACGUGAGUAAAUUGAUGCUACCCACAGAAGAAGCACCGGCUAACUCCGUGCCAGCAGCCGCCGUAA
Molecule: ribosomal RNA, 495 nt
Filed under: uncultured bacterium
Lineage: Bacteria
Description: partial 16S ribosomal RNA
Rfam family: Bacterial small subunit ribosomal RNA
Source: RNAcentral